This 1587-nucleotide ribosomal RNA is filed under the name Geckolepis petiti. Its description in RNAcentral is "16S rRNA". It matches the Rfam family "Bacterial large subunit ribosomal RNA", at positions 437 to 2925 of the family's 2925-position model. The record is from RNAcentral. Lineage: Eukaryota; Metazoa; Chordata; Lepidosauria; Squamata; Gekkonidae.
GCCGAACAGCUAGCCCAAGCACCACCUCCAAUCACCACAAAACAUAACCAAACCAUUUGUUACAUCAAGUAUAUGAGAUAGAAAAAUACCACUUGACGCUACAGCAUAAAUCUGUACCAUAAGGGACAACUGAAAGACCAAUUUAACAAUUUAAAGCACAAAAAAGCAGGGACCCACCCCCGUACCUCUUGCAUCAUGGUUUAACAAGAAAUAGCAGAUAAAGAGAAACUAUAAACCUGCCCCCCCGAAUCCAGACGAGCUACCUAAAAGCAAUCACACGGAUGCACCCAUCUCUGUGGCAAAAGAGUGGGACGACUUAUAGGUAGAGGCAAAACACCUACCGAGCCUGGCGAUAGCUGGUUGCUCACUAAAUGAACCAAAGUUCAACUCUAGUAUCACCCACACAACCACAAACUUCCCAUGUCACUACUAGAAGAAAAAAAUAAAGGUACAGCUUUUAUUGUGAUAGAACACGAUCAACCAUAGCGGACUAACCACCACCCCCCCCCCCCAACCAGUAGGCCCUAAAGCCGCCACCAUUAAAAACCGCGUCAAAGCAUUCAAUCAACUUAAUUUGACAAUAGAACUUAACCCCCUAACAACACCAACCCGAGCUAAUCCACUUCAACUGGAUAAAAUACUGUUAAAACUAGUAAUAUGAUCCCCCAUCUCAUCGCACAACCUUACAUUAACACCACCCAACCAACUAACAAUUACCAACUCAAACAGCACCCGCCAAGACAACACUGCUUAAAUACUGUUACCCCAACACAGGCGUGCCCUAGAUAAUAGAUUAAAAGUUGUAAAAGGAACUCGGCUAAUAUGCCCCACCUGUUUACCAAAAACAUGGCCUUUAGCUAAACAAGUAUUAAAGGUCCCGCCUGCCCAGUGAGAACAAAACUUUAACGGCCGCGGUACUUUAACCGUGCAAAGGUAGCGUAAUCAUUUGUCUCCUAAAUAGAGACCAGUAUGAACGGCUAAAUGAGGGCCUAACUGUCUCCUACAACCAAUCAAUGAAACUGAUCUCCCAGUACAAAAGCUGUGAUACCCACAUAAGACGAGAAGACCCUGCGGAGCUUUAAAUCACACCACUACCCAACAAACCAAAACCCUAACCCAGGGCACCAACCACAAACUACUAUAGUGCUAGAUUUAAGUUGGGGCGACUACGGAGUAAAAAAAAACCUCCAUGAAAACCGGACUAACCCUCCGCUAAAAGGCCAACACGCCAAAUAGACAACAAACACAUGACCCAGCCCAGCUGAUCACCGAACCAAGUUACCCCAGGGAUAACAGCGCCAUCCUCUUUAAGAGUUCCUAUCGCCAAGAGGGUUUACGACCUCGAUGUUGGAUCAGGACACCCCAGUGGUGUAGCCGCUACUAACGGUUCGUUUGUUCAACGAAUAAUGUCCUACGUGAUCUGAGUUCAGACCGGAGAAAUCCAGGUCGGUUUCUAUCUAUGUAUGUCCUCUUUAGUACGAAAGGACCAAGAAGACAGCGCCACUACUAUUAGGCACGCGCUAUACCAUAAAACUGAAACCAAAUAAAGUGGCAACCAAAUACGGCCCUGCCCAAAACAAGGGCGUU